RNAcentral lists this transfer RNA (72 nucleotides) under Ovis aries (sheep). It matches the Rfam family "tRNA". From Rfam's summary of the family: Transfer RNA (tRNA) molecules are approximately 80 nucleotides in length. Their secondary structure includes four short double-helical elements and three loops (D, anti-codon, and T loops). The record is from Rfam by way of RNAcentral. Lineage: Eukaryota; Metazoa; Chordata; Mammalia; Artiodactyla; Bovidae.
UCCCUCGUGGCUCAGCUGGUAAAGAAUCUGCCUGCAAUGCAGGAGACCUGGGUUCAAUCCCUAGGUUGGGAA